UUAAAUAAUUAAUUAAAUAUGUCAUUAAUUAAUUAAAAUUGGAAUUAAAUAUUUCAUUAAUUAAUUAAAAUUGGAAUUAAAUAUGUCAUUAAUUAAUUAAAAUUGGAAUUAAAUACUUAAAUGUGUUAUUAAAUAAAUAUAUCAUUAAAUAAUUAAAUAUGUCAUUAAUUAAUUAAAAUUGGCAUUAAAUAUGUCAUUAAUUAAUUAAAAUUGGCAUUAAAUAUGUCAUUAAUUAAUUAAAAUUGGAAUUAAAUACAUAAAUGUGUUAUUAAAUAUGUCAUUAAUUUAUUAAAAUAACAAUUAUUUUAAGUAAAAAACAUAUUUCAUUAUUUCACUAUUUAAUUAAUUAUUUCAUGGUCCUUGCGUUGCAGUGGAUCAUGAAUUUAUUUUAUCUGUCAACCUCGCCCGUCAAAGUCGGUGGGCGGAUCCUAACACCUGAUUGGUUACCCUGCACAUCAAGUCAAGGCAAAUCGAUUCCAGAUAAUGGAUUGACGCAGAGCUUGUGAACACAUUCCGAUACACUGGGUGGCGCUAUUCACCUCUACGUUGGUUUGGAUACUCAAUAAAACAAAACUUUAUUAGCAACCGCUAAAGACUCGGUCCUCUUUCCCAAAUGUUGAUACAUGCGGUGCAAGACAAAUUUUCCUUUAGCAUUUCCUUUAGCAUCUACUCGGCGCGCCACGGCUCGUCUCGGUUUAGUUGUUUUUCCAUUACAUUGAGUACCACCUCAUCGUGGGUUGAGUCGUCAUAGCACGGUGGCCCGAAAGUCCCUUACCGUCAUUUUUGUGCGACACAAACGCAAUGCAACAAUGUACAUGGAGGCGAUAGUACACCUGCUGCUCGGUCUGUGGCUUUCUGUCAGAUUCAGAGUAACAGAAGAGUCGGAGAAAGCUGAGAGCGGCGAGUCGAAACACUCAGGAGACACACAGGAGAGUUUGGGAGGCGAUGCAGCAGUAUCAAGCCGAAGACAAGAGGAUAUGAACGAGACGACAUAUGAGGAUGCUCUCUGAUGAGACUUCAUGGGAUUUACCUGAAGCAGCAGCACAUGAGCCUGCAGUGGCACAAGGUGUAGAGGAGGAGGGCAGAGAUGUACAGGAUGCACUGAUGCACUACGUGUCAUGCAAAAGUUAAAAGUUGUUCUUCUUGUUAUACUUCUGUUUUUCUGUCCCCGGACCGCUAUUGUUUUCUUUAAUGCAAUUCUGACAAUAAACUUUUGUAGAUGUG
Molecule: long non-coding RNA, 1224 nt
Organism: Amphiprion ocellaris (clown anemonefish)
Lineage: Eukaryota; Metazoa; Chordata; Actinopteri; Pomacentridae
Exons: 2
Source: RefSeq, a predicted model, not a curated record